UUUCCAGCAUGAGAUUGUGGUGUUUUUCCUUCUCUACAUCUAACCUUCUUCUCAACAUGUCUAGCUGAUCUUUCUUCUCGGUCAAGUAUUCAUUCCGGUUUUCAGCAUCUGAUUCAUUGUUUUCGCUGUUCUUGACAUUGCUGAUCAAAAAGAGCCUUCACAUCUUUAGCAAAGCUUUUCAAUGCAAAGGCCACUGAUUUAUCUGGCAAUUUCUCUAUGGAGGCUAACCAGUCAUGGCAUAUCAUGAGCAAUGGCGGCCCAUUGACCCUGCAGGACACAGCUGAUCCCUUACUUCUAGAGUAGAAUUCAACUUCAGGGACUAUGAACUUGGUUAGCCAACCGUGAAGAGCUUCAACGUAUGCUUUCUGGGCCGAAACAUAUUCCACAAAGCACGCACGCCAGUUGUUAAGCUCAACCUUGAGCUGAACCGUUGCUGCCUGGUGAGAUUCGUUACUGAAUUUCCCAAAUGCAGAACAAGUGAAAGUUUUCACUUCAAUCAGAAUCUUAUUCUGGGUUUCAUGUGAUUCCAACAAAAGUUUCCAUGUUCGAGUUAAUCUGCACAAAGAUAAAACAAAAUGUUAAACCAAGGAAACAACAAACCCUUUAAAAUAACUUGACUGUUCUUGGUAUCCCAUUCCGCUUUCCAUACCCUUUCAACAGUUCAACAAUCUGAGGCAGCAAUUCUUCAUCUCUUAGUUUCUCGAUCUUUAUCGAGAUUGAUUCAGCGCUCCUAAUAGCAACCAAGAUCCUGGCAUACAAAUCUUUCACUGUAGCUCUAGUUUUAUCCAUAGUUAGCUCAUCAUCUCCUCUAACAUCCAGAUUUCUUAAGCGCGAACACUUUUUCUCAUACAGUUUCCUUGUGCUAUCACCAGCCUAUUGGACAUCGAAAAAGCAUAUCACAUGAGUUUUAAGGAACACACAACACCACAAAAGGUCUUAAGGGAAACAGUUUUAGGAAGUGAGAAAAUGUACCUUCACUUCUUCAUAGAGCUUUUUCUCCCAAGCAUAUAUUCUUCCUAGUGUAAGUGAAUGGCUUCCGGCAGCCAUUCCUCCAUAAUCAUCGAAAAGAUCAUUCCUAAACUCUGUCCAAGAUGAACUACUUUUGGAGGUUGAUACUACUAGACUCUUACAUGAUGAAGGCUUAGACGAAAUGGAUCGGUGACGUGCAGACUGAAUUAGUUUUGUUGAGUUUUCUGUAUUGAAUAGAACAAUUCAAGAAUCAUUUUAAGCACACCAAUAUAGUUAUGAAACAUUUGAAA
Molecule: long non-coding RNA, 1259 nt
Organism: Cannabis sativa
Lineage: Eukaryota; Viridiplantae; Streptophyta; Magnoliopsida; Rosales; Cannabaceae
Exons: 2
Source: RefSeq, a predicted model, not a curated record